GUAAGUGCAAGAGUGAUGUCCUUAACUAAGGAAGAAGGAUAAGAGCCAGAGCAUAAGUGAAGGGGUUAGUAGUAGUAGUGUUAGUCGCUAGUCGUGUCGGGCUCUUUGCAACCCCACAGACUGUAGCCCGUCAGCCUCCUCAGUCCACGGAAUUCUCCAGGCAAGAAUACUGGAGUGGGUUGCCAUUCCCUUCUCCAGGGGAUCUUCCCAACCCAGGGAUCCAACCCAGGUCUCCUACGUCUCCUGCAUAGCAGGCAGAUUCUUCACCAUCUGAGCUACAGAGAAGUCCCUAAGUGAAGGGGUUGGUCACGGGUAAAAGCCAGGACCCCACAUCCAUCAUAAUAGGCAUGGAGGUGAUGUGUGCGGGUUGGUAGAUGUGCUAGAGAGAGUGUCACUUCCAAUGGCUCUGUUUUCUGAGGCAAGCUCUCCUUCAGUCUGCCAAGGGUAAGUUUCUGGACUUGAUCUCAAAUAUUAAGAAAUGCCCAUGGAAUGGAAUCUGGGAAUGGAAUGCUCUCAGGCAAGAAACAACUACAGCUGUCCCUCUGUAUCCACAGGGAUUGGUUCCAGGACCUCCCAGGGAUACCAAAAUCCAUGGACGUUCAAGUCCCUUGCAUAAAACAGCAAAGAAUUUGCAUAUGACCUACACACAUCCUCCCAUUUACUUUAAAUCAUCUCUAGAUUACUUAAAAAUACCCAAUAAAUGCUAUGUGAAUAGCUGCCAGCAAGUGGCAAUUCAAGCUUUGCUUUUUGGAAUUUUCUGGAAAAAAAUUUUUUUUUCAGAAUAUCUUUCAUUCACUGUUGGUUGAAUCCAUGGAUGCAGAACCCACAGAUAAGAAAGGUGACUGGAGAGGUCUUUUUCUGUACUCAAUAAAUGGUCUUCAUAUUUCUUAUUUUGUGAUUAUCCCCACUCAUUCAAGAGAAGGAGAAAAAAUCUGCAAGUGUCUAUUUAAAGGAAAAAAUGGUAUGAGAGAGAGGAAGUAAAGAGCAACUUGGCAACGAAUCUACUGUUUUUAAACAAGUCAAUAUUAAACAAACACAUCAAUUUUUACUCUAUUUUUCUCUUUGUAUACAAUUUUCAAUUAAUCUAUACCUGCCUUUCCAAUGUGU
Bos taurus (domestic cattle) is the source of this 1107-nucleotide long non-coding RNA. Lineage: Eukaryota; Metazoa; Chordata; Mammalia; Artiodactyla; Bovidae. The record is from Ensembl.